UGGCUCAGUUCAGCAG
Molecule: microRNA, 16 nt
Filed under: Monodelphis domestica (gray short-tailed opossum)
Lineage: Eukaryota; Metazoa; Chordata; Mammalia; Didelphimorphia; Didelphidae
Description: mdo-miR-24-3p
Gene: mdo-miR-24-3p
Source: miRBase by way of RNAcentral